RNAcentral lists this ribosomal RNA (218 nucleotides) under uncultured bacterium. RNAcentral's name for it is "partial 16S ribosomal RNA". It matches the Rfam family "Bacterial small subunit ribosomal RNA", at positions 328 to 539 of the family's 1533-position model. The record is from RNAcentral.
ACGCUCGACACCUACUGGAGGCAGCAGUGAGGAAUAUUGGUCAAUGGGCGCAGGCCUGAACCAGCCAAGUAGCGUGAAGGAUGACUGCCCUAUGGGUUGUAAACUUCUUUUAUAUGGGAAUAAAGUUUUCCACGUGUGGAAUUUUGUAUGUACCAUAUGAAUAAGGAUCGGCUAACUCCGUACCAGCAGCCGCGGUAAUCUGAGCGGGCUGGCAAGGC